Argentina anserina (silverweed cinquefoil) is the source of this 625-nucleotide long non-coding RNA. RefSeq lists it as uncharacterized. The transcript has 6 exons. The record is from RefSeq and is a predicted model, not a curated record. NCBI's taxonomy places the organism in Eukaryota, Viridiplantae, Streptophyta, Magnoliopsida, Rosales, Rosaceae.
GCGAAAGAGGCAGAUUUUCUCCGUCUUCAAGUCUUCGAUCUGAAACCUCUCGUCUCCAAUGCAGAUGCAGGGUUUACAAGUAAAGAAUGGGCAAAAUCACAAAAUAUGAAGAAUCCCAGAUUUGGCUCAUUCAAUUCAUAUGCCCUCACUUUGCUUGUGGUCUUCCACUUUUAGGUGAUUCAAAAUUUUUAUUUCUGGUGUUAACAAGAAAGUAGUCAGCAGACAUGUACACCUGCAGUAUUGCCACCACUUAAAUAAAUAUAUCCAGGGAAUCUCACCAAUGAUCUUCAAGAUCAUAUUUUGAAGCAUAUUCCUUCCCCGGACACCACUCAUGUCUCUACAUAUAUAAGAUCCAUUUGAAAGUAAUUUAGUUGCCAACAGCUUAAGCAUUGGAGCUUCAAAUGACAGAAAAGAUAAGUGAAAUCAAUGGUUUGUGCGUGAAGGAGAAUUGGUGUAUGUCCACAAUAGCUACAAUUUAGGGAUUAGCUUAUUUGUUAGUAGACAAGCCAACAAGGUUAGAGAGUUUGAGGGUUUGAUGCUAAUUAGGUUGUGUUUGUAUCAAGGAUCUGAUAUUUAUAUUUGAUGAGUUGAACGAGAAUUUCGCUGUUAUGUACAUUAUACGAAA